Molecule: long non-coding RNA, 1524 nt
Filed under: Meleagris gallopavo (turkey)
Lineage: Eukaryota; Metazoa; Chordata; Aves; Galliformes; Phasianidae
Description: lncRNA (ENSMGAG00000019795.1)
Source: RNAcentral
AUGGUCAUGCCCAUCCCUCCCUCUCUCAUUCUCUCUUCUUUCCUCCCUCCCUCUGUCCAUCCCUCCUUCUUUCUCUCCUUCCCUCUUUCCCUCUCUCCCCCCAUCUCUCCAUUGCUCUAUUUCUUCCUCCCUUCUUCUCUCCCUCCAUCUAUCUGCCCAUCUAUCCUUCCCCUUCUCCUUCCUUCUCUCCCUCUCUCCUUCCCCCUCCUUCUCUUCCCCUCUUCUUUCUCCAUUCCUCCCUCUCUCCAUCCAUCCCUCCUUCCCUCUCUCUAUUCCUCCUUCCUCCAUUCUCCCAUCCUUUCCUCUCUUCUUCCCUUCAUUUCUUUCCCUCUCUCCCUGUCUCCCUCCCUCCUACCCUCUCACCCUCCCUCCAUCCCUUCCUCCUUCCUUCCCUCUCCAUCUCUCCAUCCCUCCCACCUCUCUCCAUCUCUCAUCCCUCCAUCCUUCCCUCCCUCCUUUACUCCCUCCCUCCCUCCCUCCCUCCCUCCUUCCUUUCUUCCCUCCCCCUGCUUCUCUUCCCACCUCUCCCUCCCUCCAUCUCCAUCUCUCCUUUCCUCCAUCCACCCAUCCUCCAUCCAUCCAUCCAUCCAUCCAUCCAUCCAUCCAUCCAUCCACCCACCCCUCCCUCUAUUCUUUCCUCUCAAUCUUCUUCCCUCUCUCCCUCCAUCCCUCCCUCCCUCUCUCCCUUCAUCCUCUCCCUCCAUCUCUCCAUCCAUCCAUUCCUCUCUCCAUCCCUCCCUCCAUUCAUCCCCACUUCUCUCUGUAUCUCCAUCCUUCUCUCCUUCCCUCCCUCCCCUCCCCCACAUCUCCACCCCUCCUUCCCUACUCCAACCCGUGCCUCAGUUUCCCCACCGCACACACAGCGCCGAGCCCCAUCUUUGUCACUUUGCUCCUUUAUUUGUGGGGCAGGGGGUGGCACCUCGCCGUCCCCUCUCAGUAGCUACGCACUUUGACCUCUUUGCUCUCAGACACCACUUUGCCAUCCACCAUCCUCUGGGUGCUGCGCUGCGUAGUGACCGUCCCCUCUGUCCCCAGAGCAUCCUGCAGACUGUGGGGCAGGGGUGUCCCCGUGUCACACCUAGGGGUGUCCCCACCCCUAUGUGGCCCACCCCUGUUACCCACUNNNNNNNNNNNNNNNNNNNNCACCCGUUACCCACUCCUGUCACCCUCCCCUGGGUCACCCACCCCUAUGUCACCCACACCUGUUACCCACUCCUGUCACCCACCCCUGUGUCACCCAUCCCUAUGUCACCCACCCCUGUGUCACUCAGCCCCAUGCCACCCUUUCCCACUGCUACCCCAAGGAACUUGGAGGGGACAUCGGGGCUGGGGGAAGGAGGGGGCUGGGGUGCCUGGCCACUGGUUGCCACCACUGUCCCUGUGCUGUCCCCAAAUGUCCCAGCAGAUAGGACUCGGAUGUGUGUGUACCCACAGCUCAUCUCUGGUGUGCGUCACCACUGUCCCUUUGCUGUCCCUACAGAAUCCCCACUGGGUGUCACUGCUGUCCCUUUGCUACCCCUAUAG